Coturnix japonica (Japanese quail) is the source of this 1813-nucleotide long non-coding RNA. The record is from Ensembl. Lineage: Eukaryota; Metazoa; Chordata; Aves; Galliformes; Phasianidae.
AUGGGGUGUCCCUAUGUAUUGUCCCUAUGUGUUGUCCCUAUGGGGCGGUUCUAUGGGGUGGUGCUAUGGGGUGGCCCUAUGGGCUGCCCCUAUGUGUUGGCCCUAUGGGGUGAUGCUAUGGAUUGGCCCUAUAUAUUGUCCCUAUGGGGUGGCCCUAUAUGUUGUCCCUAUGGGGUGUCCCUAUGUGUUGUCCCUAUGUGCUGUCCCUAUGUGCUGUUCCUAUGGGGCGGCUCUAUGGGGUGGCGCUAUGGGGUGUCCCUAUGGUUUGGCUCUAUGGGGUGGCCCUAUGGUUUGGCCCUAUGUGCUGCCCCUAUGUGUUGUCCCUAUGUGCUGUCCCUAUGGGGCAGUUCUAUGGGGUGGUUCUAUAGGGCAGCGCUAUGGGGUGUCCCUAUGGUUUGGCUCUAUGGGGUGGCCCUAUGGGGUGGCGCUAUGGGGUGGCCCUAUGGGGUGAUGCUAUGGGUGACCCUAUGUACUGCCCCUAUGUGCUGUUCCUAUGGGGUGUCCCUAUGUAUUGUCCCUAUGUGUUGUCCCUAUGGGGCGGUUCUAUGGGGUGGCGCUAUGGGGUGGCCCUAUGGUUCGGCUCUAUGGGGUGGCCCUAUGGGGUGGCCCUAUGUGCUGCCCCUAUGUGCUGUCCCUAUGGGGUGUCCCUAUGCAUUGUCCCCAUGUGCUGCCCCUAUGGGGUGGUUCUAUGGGGCAGCACUGACCCCUAUGUGCUGCCCUAUGCAUUGUCCCCAUGUGCUGCCCCUAUGUGUGGGUUCUAUGGGGCAGCUCUAUGGGGCAGCCCUAUGGGUCGUUUCUAUGGGGCAGUGCUGACCCCUAUGUAUUGUCCCCAUGUGCUGCCCCUAUGGGUCGUUUCUAUGGGGCAGCACUGACCCCCAUGUGCUGUCCCCAUGUGCUGCCCCUAUGGGUUGGUUAUGGGGCCGCCCCAUAGCUCUGUCCGCGGCUCCUCUCCCCCCCCCCUUCUCUUUCCCUACAAAAACCCUUUUUAUAUGGGAUUUAUGGGAUUUCUGCCCUCCCCCCCCCGCCGCCCCAUAGGCCGCUAUAAAUACCCGGGCGGGGCGCUGCGGUUUGGGGCGGGAUCGGCCGAUUUUGGUUAAAAAAAUACAAACACGUGGAAAAAAAAAGUGGAGAUUUUUAGUUUGGGGUCGGAGGGGAGUAAUGGGAUCCUAUGGGAGUAAUGGGAUCCUAUGGGACUAAUGGGAUCCUAUGGGUUUCUAUGGGGUUCUAUAGGAUUGGAUGGGGUUAAUGGGAUUCUAUGGGGUUCUAUAGGAUUGGAUGGGGUUAAUGGGAUCCUAUGGGAUUCUAUGGGGUUCUAUAGGAUUGGAUGGUGUUAAUGGGAUCCUAUGGGGUUUAUGGGAUCCUAUGGGGCUGAUGGAAUUCUAUGGGGUUGAUGGGAUCCUAUGGGGUUCUAUAGGAUUCUAUGGGGCUGAUGGGAUUCUAUGGGAUUCUAUAGGAUUGGAUGGGGUUGGGUGGGAUCCUAUGGGGCUGAUGGGAUCCUAUGGGAUUCUAUAGGAUUGGAUGGGGUUGAUGGGAUUCUAUGGGGCUGAUGGGAUUCUAUGGGGUUAAUGGGAUUCUAUGGGGCUGAUGGGAUUCUAUGGGGUUUAUGGGAUCCUAUGGGGUUCAAUAGGAUUCUAUGGGGCUGAUGGGAUCCUAUGGGGUUCUAUAGGGUUGGAUGGGGUUUAUGGGAUCCUAUGGGGUUCUAUAGGAUUCUAUGGGGUUUAUGGGAUCCUAUGGGGUUCUAUAGGAUUCUAUGGGGUUGAUGGGAUCCUAUGGGGUUCUAUAGGACUGCAUGGCGUUGAAUUCAGCUCGGCAU